Aedes albopictus (Asian tiger mosquito) is the source of this 679-nucleotide long non-coding RNA. RefSeq lists it as uncharacterized. The transcript is spliced from 2 exons. Lineage: Eukaryota; Metazoa; Arthropoda; Insecta; Diptera; Culicidae. The record is from RefSeq and is a predicted model, not a curated record.
GUAACGAUAAUUGUUCCAAGCACUGUGCGCAAAAUCUGCUUGCCUCUGAUUGGUUAUUAAAUUAUAAGUGUUCCCGCCAACCACAAACUUUUGCGUCUCAAAGUAGGUAGGAAAGCCUCCGCGCAAAUGAUAUAAAUAGAGGCCUCAUAACGCAAACCGAGAUCAUUGUGUGCAAAUCUGUGACGAAGAACAGUCCAGCCUCCAGAGCAGCUAGCAGAGCAGAUCCUACCUGCAGAGGAGCACAGUGGUUGUGUGUCCAGCAACCGUGCUGAAGCCGACGAGGGACCCAGUCCAGUCGAGCAGCAACCAGCCUACCUGCAACCCCAACGAAGCCGGCGGCACCGAGGUGGAGUUCAACUCGCUAAGGGCCUGGUUUCUCAAAUUUCGCCAUCCCACCGGUGUCCACCGAUACGUGUGUGCUUUUGGUUGCAUCAAUUUUGAUCCGCAAGCUGCAGAUUUCCUGAGCUACCUACUUUGCAUGUGAAGGGAGAAGAUUUGUGCACGUGACUACAAACCGACGUAAGUCAUCCUGUGUGUGAACCAAAGCCGUUUAGUAAUUGCGACCUUUUUGUGCAGUGCCCUGAAACGCAGUCGGUUUUUAUUGUAUCCUGGAAGACCCGACUGACCGGCGGACCAGUGCAGAUCGUUGUUGCUGUCUGUUCCUGCCUCGCGUGAAUAG